UGCAACGUGUAGGAACCCCUGGUGUUAUUUACCGUUGUCGGAGGUCCAACAGAAACGUAUCCUAAUCCAAAAUAGCAACACCCCCAUCAGUCGUGAAAUGACUACAGGGUGCACGUGUUUUAGACACAUGACAUGGAUGUGGGUUUGGACUGGUGAGAGAAUUUGCUUUCUGUUCUCUGUGCCUUUGUCUCUCCUCUGGCUGCUGCUGUUGGGCCCUCGUCUCUUCAUAUUCAUGUAUAACUUGCAGCUGCUGGCUGAUGCUGCCAAUCCGCCGUAUUCUCAGUGGUGAAUAGAUAAUCCGCUCUGUAAAAUACUCCUGUGGGUCUUCGCUCUCAACUGGAGCUGCUGCCGAACUGGUGGAGGCAGAAUUCAAGGGUGCACACUCCAUUUUCCACUGGCCCAAGGAGGAAGAGCUGCAAAACAGCAACAUGGCAGUAAGGCAAUCAACUACACGACAUAAACCGUAUUCGUUACAGCAUCCACAGAUCUCGAGUAGUUUGCUCUCUCAAAAAGUUUUUCUCCCCCGGAUCACUGAUGUGACGCUGCGACGAGGCUUUCCUGCCUCCACAAUAAUCUCGGUUGCCCUGUGGAUUUCUCUCCUCAGGCACUUGUUGGAGAAAGGAAGGAGGAAAAAGGAGGAGUGGGAGCAGGUGAAGGACCCGUCUUUGGCGUGGAGCCAAUAAGCAGCCCGGUUCGAGCAAGGAAGAGGCCCUUGAGUGUCGACAGCCUUUCGGAGUGUCAGUUGAAGUAGCGAGAGUGAGGAAUGCUUCAACACCUGAGAGCAGCACAACAAACUGUUAAUCCUUUUGCAUGCUGCUGUAGUUAGCCAGGUGACCUUGGCUCUGUGUGAGAGGGAAAUUGCCGCAGGCCUGUACACCUCAUGCUGGGAGAUAUUGCUGUUAGGUGCACAGACACUGCCGUUGAAGACCAACAUGCACACUGCGUAUUCAAAGCAAUCUCAUGUGCCAAUCACUGUACCCAAAAGCUAGUGAUAUAAAGUCUACCAAAGACUCUUUUUCUGUAAGUUUUGAAAUAUAUUUAAGCAAUAAAGUAUGAGAG
Long non-coding RNA from Gasterosteus aculeatus aculeatus (three-spined stickleback), 1059 nucleotides. The record is from Ensembl. NCBI's taxonomy places the organism in Eukaryota, Metazoa, Chordata, Actinopteri, Perciformes, Gasterosteidae.